This 3060-nucleotide unclassified non-coding RNA is filed under the name Haliotis rufescens (red abalone). RNAcentral's name for it is "inhibitor of apoptosis protein-like, transcript variant X4". Lineage: Eukaryota; Metazoa; Mollusca; Gastropoda; Lepetellida; Haliotidae. The record is from RNAcentral.
GUACGCCGCGUUAAACGAGACAUGGAUUUACGACAGGAGCAGCACACAGGGUGAGCCUCUCCAUUAUUUGUAUCAUCUCUACAAGUUUUAGUGGGCCAUUGAAUUACAACGAACCAAGUAAAAAACAUUUGAAUCGCUAACCCCACAUAUUGUGAACGGGGGAUAUCGGAAGGGGAAUUGCCGUGACUGUUGUCAGUUCGAGGAAAACUGGCAGGGGAAUUGCCGGAAAUAUCGGCAGUACCGGGAAUUCAUUCAAGGGAAUUUACCGGGUAUAUGUCCAGGGUAAAGGCAACUGAUAGUGCGUUGUACUCGUGGCUGUCCAACAGGGGAAAUUUAUCGUGAGCUGGAUAUAACGAGCGGAACGUUGACUGAUGCUGUCAUUUCAUGUACAGCACUCAACACAUCUUCAACUUAGCCCCAUCCGGAGGCGGAUAUAUCUGAUGUAUCCGAGUCUCACUGAUUGAACUCAUAAGUUAUUGGAUACGAACAACGCGUUAUAAAUUAGUUGCUACAAAUCAGGGGGGCGUGUGCUGAAUACAUCGACUAUGUUGUAUGUGUGUGAGAUGACAAGUAAAUACAGAGACUCUUCUCGAGACGUUCCGGACAGCGAGGGUGGUAGGCUGACAGUUCAAGGUCAUUCAAGUUGGAGCGAGACGGCGCGUGAUCAGGUGGGGCUGAACUCGGAACUCGCUAUGGUUGAGGGGAUGAGAGAUGAGGCGAGACGACUUAUGACGUUUACCAAUUGGCCCUCCUCGUUCCAGGAUCCGGCCAAAUUGGCAGAAGUCGGACUCUUUUACACUGGACGUUUGGACCGAGUCCAAUGCGCCUUCUGUCUGGGGGUGUUGAAGGAAUGGCAACUGGGGGAUGUCCCGCUGACCGAACAUCAGAGACACUUUCCGCAUUGCAGAUUUCUCCAGGGGGACGAUGUGGGCAAUAUUCCAGCCAGGCGAUGUGCCGCCCCACAGAUGCUCGGGGGUUCAGUACUGAGACCAGCAGUACUGGAGGUGCCAGGCUGGAACAAGGGAUGUGACACUUCCAUGAAUGAAAAUAUGUACAUCAUUCCAUCGUGUGUCCCGCCACCUUCAGACUACAUCAACAGAUUAAGACCUUCUGAUAAGGAAGCAAAGCCCAUACCUUCUUCUACAACUCAAGUGAAACGUAAUUGUUCGGAUGAGGAGACUGGGGCACCGUCUGUGUCCACUGCGGUAAGGACUUUAGACUACACAUCUGAAGCAAGUCGUCUAGCGUCGUUCAGACACUGGCCUACGGACUCUCCGAUUUCACCAGUGGAUCUGGCAAGAGCAGGUUUCUUCCAUGCCCCAACCGCGGGUAAGCCUGACCGGGUGAAAUGUGGGUACUGCCAGGGUAAGCUGUAUGCAUGGAGCUGGGGAGAGGAACCGGAGAUGGAGCAUAGGCAGUGCUUUCCCACGUGUCCCUUUCUGGGGAUGAAUGGAAGCGCGAGGAGGACGAACCAGGCAUUGACAGCAUCAAGCCCAGCAAGUUUCUUUGAAGGCAACAGACCCACGUCAGUUCCAGCUAGACUCAACCUCUCUUCCAAGAAAUCCCUGAACACGACAACACGUGACAUGGUUACAACCAAUCAAGCUGGAUUUUGUGGAUGCAUGCGCGCCAGGGGAGAUGCUGUGUUCAAACAGGACAUGGACGACCCCGAGGUGUUUAUGCUGAGCGACACUGUAACACGGGUGCUGGAGAUGGGGUUUGCCAGAGAGACGAUAGAGAGGCUUGUUAGGAACAGGAGGAAGAGCUGUGUGGACCUGGCUUCGGUGGAGAGGCUCGUGGAGGCUGUGUUGAACUACGAUGUUUAGAGUGUCGCUCGUUGGGUCAUUUGAGAGGCACAAUCUGGAAGAUAAACUGGGGUCAUUUAAGAGGCAAAAUCUGGAAGAUAAACUGGGGUCCUAUUAUAUAUUUAGUUAUCUUGGUAUAUUUUUUUACAUUAAUCAUAUCCCAUGUAUACAUUAUCUGUCUCUUUAUAAUUCAACUUAGACGUCUUUUACUCCAUGAAGAGGCAUGAGUAGUCUGUCCUACAUACCCUGAAACAAAUAUAUCCAAUAGAGUCCAUGCAGGUCUAUAAAGUUUGGUUAGUCCAGAUUACUGCAGUAUUUGAAAAUGAGGAAAGUCUCUUGGCUCCUUUUUAUUAUAUUUUAUAACUAUAAUUUAGCAACUGUUUUUUUUUGUAAAUUAUGUUCAUUUCAGAGACUAGAUGUUAGUCUGAAACAAGAAAUGUUAUCUCUAAAAUACUAUGUCUUCAACUAUGGUCCAGUUACAUCCAGAGAUAUGCUUCAAUGAAAUACGAUGUGUCUUCUUAAUCCGAAGACCCAAGUAUAAUCCGAUAUAUGUCCCACAUCCAGAGAUGUGCUCAAAUGAGAUACAGUGAGACUCGAAGACCCCAGCAUCAUAAUUAUAUAUCCGAUAUAUGUCGACUUAUCCCUAGUAGGGCAACUAAAUAAGACUGAGGCUGAUGUAAAUAUUCUACCGUGGCAUGAAGUCAUAUCGACGAUAUCGAGAUAGUGUAGUUAGAAUAAACCAGAAUUUACUGUACACAAUAAUGAGAGAGUGAGUUGUUUUUUACGGCGCUUUGACCAGUACAUUAGUUUCAACAGGCAAGGUGUAAAUUGGUCAAGUUGCCCCAACACUUGUUAACUUUCAAAAGCCCGAUGCGAUGCCGGUCUUGGACGUUCACAGCUUUGGUGAAACCAGUAAGGGUAUGGCGCUCACAAACCAAGGAAUAAAUCUGGAAUUUGAACCCACAAUAAUAUGUCCAACCUAUACAUACUUUCAUGACAAGAGAGUAGUACAUUUUUGUAUUAUUUUUGUGAACACAAGGGGUGCAAUUUGUGGCUCUUGAUUCAUUUACCAGUAUUUAGUUUAAUGAACAAGACCACUUACAACCAAUACAGAGAAAAAAAUCCAUUUACCGAUCUCUGCCCUAGGAGAAUGACGAAAUAUCAAAUAUUUGUUUAUCCAACUUGUAAAAGAAAUAAUCAUGUAGAUUUAACCUGUAGCUGGAGCACAUUUCAAAAAUAAAUAUUUAUCUGAUUU